AGCUCCAAUAGCGUAUAUUAAAGUUGUUGCAGUUAAAAAGCUCGUAGUUGAAUUUGUGGCUUACGAUGGGCUCACAUUGCUUGUUUGUGAUGUUGCUGGCUGUUGUUGCCAUCCUUGGGUGGAAUCUGUGUGGCAUUAGGUUGUCGUGCAGGGAAUACCCAUCGUUUACUGUGAAAAAAUUAGAGUGUUCAAAGCAGGCUUAUGCCAAUGAAUAUAUUAGCAUGGAAUAAUGAGAUAGGACCUUGGUACUAUUUUGUUGGUUUGCGCAUUGAGGUAAUGGUUAACAGGAACAGUUGGGGGUAUUCGUAUUUCAUUGUCAGAGGUGAAAUUCUUGGAUUUUUGAAAGACGAACUACUGCGAAAGCAUUUACCAAGGAUGUUUUCAUUAAUCAAGAACGAAA
Molecule: ribosomal RNA, 400 nt
Filed under: phytoplankton environmental sample
Lineage: Eukaryota
Description: partial small subunit ribosomal RNA
Rfam family: Eukaryotic small subunit ribosomal RNA
Source: RNAcentral